GAUGUGGAUUAAGAAGGCAGCCGAAG
RNAcentral lists this non-coding RNA (26 nucleotides) under Cricetulus griseus (Chinese hamster). The record is from RNAcentral. Lineage: Eukaryota; Metazoa; Chordata; Mammalia; Rodentia; Cricetidae.